RNAcentral lists this ribosomal RNA (619 nucleotides) under uncultured Gammaproteobacteria bacterium. RNAcentral's name for it is "bacterial SSU rRNA". It matches the Rfam family "Bacterial small subunit ribosomal RNA", at positions 35 to 645 of the family's 1533-position model. The record is from RNAcentral. Lineage: Bacteria; Pseudomonadati; Pseudomonadota; Gammaproteobacteria.
GCUGGCGGCAUGCUUAACACAUGCAAGUCGAACGGCAGCGCGGGGAGCUUGCUCCCUGGCGGCGAGUGGCGGACGGGUGAGUAACGCGUGGGAAUCUGCCCAUUAGUGGGGGACAACCCGAGGAAACUCGGGCUAAUACCGCAUACGCCCUACGGGGGAAAGCAGGGGAUCUUCGGACCUUGUGCUAUUGGAUGAGCCCGCGUCGGAUUAGCUUGUUGGUGAGGUAAAAGCUCACCAAGGCGACGAUCCGUAGCUGGUCUGAGAGGACGAUCAGCCACACUGGGACUGAGACACGGCCCAGACUCCUACGGGAGGCAGCAGUGGGGAAUAUUGGACAAUGGGCGAAAGCCUGAUCCAGCAAUGCCGCGUGUGUGAAGAAGGCCCUAGGGUUGUAAAGCACUUUCAGUUGGGAAGAAACGCAGAGGGUUAAUACCCCUCUGUAAUGACGUUACCGACACAAGAAGCACCGGCUAACUCCGUGCCAGCAGCCGCGGUAAUACGGAGGGUGCGAGCGUUAAUCGGAAUUACUGGGCGUAAAGGGCGCGUAGGUGGUUCUGUAAGUCGGGUGUGAAAGCCCCGGGCUUAACCCGGGAAUUGCAUUCGAUACUGCAGAGCUUGA